Molecule: long non-coding RNA, 2284 nt
Organism: Gorilla gorilla gorilla (western lowland gorilla)
Lineage: Eukaryota; Metazoa; Chordata; Mammalia; Primates; Hominidae
Exons: 10
Source: RefSeq, a predicted model, not a curated record
AAAGAAGAGGAACACACCACAGCAAAAAUAAGACAUCUUCCAGUGUUUUGUUGUCCUGUGGUGAACCCAGAGAGAAAAAAUAGCAGUACUGUCUGCAAAGCCGCUUGACUUUACCUCGUACAUGGGUCACAGCUGAGCAUGUGUUUCAUGUCGUGAGUGGGCACUCCAACAUCGCCUUGAGAUUUCAUCCUGGAACAUAGAGGGUGAGCAGCAAUAAGUUCAGCCUAGGGUUUUCUGGGUCUGAAUCCACGUCUUCCACACUAAAACUUUCUGAGUUCACAGAGGAAGACCCUCAUGGAAAUCCACUGCGGAAUCCACAGUGCCCCUCAACUGCACUACUGUUCACCAGUUUCAGACUUGCCAUCACCACAGCGGGCAUCUGAGAUAUUGUCUGAACCUCAUCUGCACCCAUGAGAGACCAGAUCGAGGCAGACUGAUAGCUCUGACAGCUAGGUGCCUGUACCUACCUCAGGAAUGCAUAUGCACUAGUCUCAGGACACCAGUCCUCAUUCUGAGCUCUGGCUAGCAUCAUAAUGAAUGUCAUCAUUGCCUAGAGACAAGUUCCUGCCUCUUGAGGAAGAAGGAGACCUCCCUGUAGGUAUGUCGGCUGUGGACUCUUGCCUGUCUUCUCUGUGGGAUCCAAGAGAUAGUCCCAUGAUCCUACGAGACAGUAGAUGUGAACCAGCAAAAAGAAACAUCAAACAGAGGCCCAGGAAUAAAUUGCAAAAUCCCUAAGGAUCCAAAAGUCUGCAGGAUUCCUCAGGCCUGCCUAGAUGUUGUAGGGGUUCUACAUGUCAUGAAGGGCAACUCCUCCAUCAUUUCAGGAUUUUUUUUCUGGAACAGAGAGUGUGAGCAGCAAUAAGGACAGAUACAGGCUGGCCAACAGUUCUGACAGCCCGUCGCCCAAGUCUGCAUACUCUUAGGCACAAGGACUGAGCUGUGGGCUCGGGUUAGCAUCACAAUGAAGGCCACCAUUGCGUAGGCAUAAGUCUCUGCGGCUUUGCGGAGAAGAACUCUGUGGAGGUUAGUCAGUGGUGGACUCUCGCUUCAUUUCUCUGUGGGAUUCCCGUGAUAGUCCCAUGAGGCUAGGAGAGGGAGGAGGUGAGCCAGCCUGAAGAAAAGUCAAGCACAGUCCCAGGAAUAAGCCGCAAAACCCCUACAGAUCCAAAAGGACCUGGAGGAUGCCUAAGGCCUCCCGGACUUUGUCAGGCCUAGAGUUUCCUUGGUCUGGCUCAAUGUCUUCCAAACUCAGCCUUUCCCAGUUCAUGGAAAAUGACCCUCAAGGGAUUCCCUUGCAAAAGCUGCAUGAUUGCUGGAGGAUGUUUUAUUGUCCUACAGCCAACCCAAAAAUGGCACUACCAGUCAUGUUUCAGGGCCCCUUGAAUUAACCUCGAAUUAGGUUUCCAGAUGAGCAGGUGCUUCAUGUUGUGAAGGGGCCCUCCUCCAUCAUCCUAGAGUUUCAUUCUGGGACACAGAGUGUGAGCAGCAAUAAGAGUUGCACUCUGUUGCCUAGGCUGGAGUGCAGUGGCAUGAUCAGUCACUGCAAGCUCUACCUCCUGGGUUCAUGCCAUUCUCCUGCCUCAGCCUCCUGAGUAGCUGGGACUACAGGCUGGGUCCACAUUGCCCCUCAACAGCAUUACUGGACACCCUUGUCAGACUAGCAAUUUCCACAGACACCUUCUGUGAACAUUUUUCAACAUCAUCUGCAGCAGUGAGAGGCCAGUUUGAUGUGUAAGAAUACUGCUUGACUUUGGACUUGCCUUUGUCAUGGUUCCUGCUUUUCUCAUAGAUCUCCUGCCAGGACAAGGAUGAUAGGAGGCAAUGAAGUCAAGGGCCCAGCCCCAUUCACUGAAAGCUGCCUCUGGGAUCUCAGGUAUGAUUCCAUCACAUAAAAUCCCCUCAACAACUCACCAGACUAUAUUCCAAUCUCCGUGGGACCUGAUUCUUGCACAGCCUCUUUCAUGAAUGGAGCCAGAAGAGCAGUUUUCAGUGACCACCUCAGUUUGGAAAAGCCUCCUCCUUCAGUUGGUCUCAGCCACAGAGUCAUCCCGAAGGGGCUCUAAGGUCAAUAAUUUUAGGGUCCGACAGUUGAUUAUCACAGACAGACUUUUUCAUGAUAGCAGGUCAUCUGUGUCUAUAUCAUUUUCCUCUGCUUAGGCAGGCUGACAGCUCUGACAGCCAGGCACCUGAAUCUACCUGGCAAAUGUUCAUGCUCUAGUCUCAGUGCAAAAGACCUGUUUGGGAGUUCUGGCUAGUGUCACAAUAAAUGUUGGCAUUGCCUAGU